GAUGAACGCUAGCUACAGGCUUAACACAUGCAAGUCGAGGGGAAACGAUAUUGGAAGCUUGCUUCCGAUAGGCGUCGACCGGCGCACGGGUGAGUAACGCGUAUCCAACCUGCCCACCACUUGGGGAUAACCUUGCGAAAGUAAGACUAAUACCCAAUGAUAUCUCAAGAAGACAUCUGAAUGAGAUUAAAGAUUUAUCGGUGAUGGAUGGGGAUGCGUCUGAUUAGCUUGUUGGCGGGGUAACGGCCCACCAAGGCGACGAUCAGUAGGGGUUCUGAGAGGAAGGUCCCCCACAUUGGAACUGAGACACGGUCCAAACUCCUACGGGAGGCAGCAGUGAGGAAUAUCGGUCAAUGGGCGAGAGCCUGAACCAGCCAAGUAGCGUGCAGGAUGACGGCCCUAUGGGUUGUAAACUGCUUUUAUAAGGGAAUAAAGUGAGCCUCGUGAGGCUUUUUGCAUGUACCUUAUGAAUAAGGACCGGCUAAUUCCGUGCCAGCAGCCGCCGCAG
RNAcentral lists this ribosomal RNA (508 nucleotides) under uncultured bacterium. RNAcentral's name for it is "partial 16S ribosomal RNA". It matches the Rfam family "Bacterial small subunit ribosomal RNA", at positions 28 to 523 of the family's 1533-position model. The record is from RNAcentral.